Molecule: long non-coding RNA, 1832 nt
Organism: Equus caballus (horse)
Lineage: Eukaryota; Metazoa; Chordata; Mammalia; Perissodactyla; Equidae
Source: Ensembl
CACCGUUCACCUCAGGGCAGAAGGCCUGGUGGGAGGGCCGCACAUCAAGCCUCUCAUGUUUUGGUUCAACUUGAGUAAGAGGGGAAAUUCCCAGGAACCCCUCUGGGGCCUGAGACCCCCAACGCUGAGGGAGGCAGGGGCCCCGCCCGCCCCCUCGCAGACUAGGGUUUGUGUGCUUGUAUUUUUUUUUAUUCUCAAGAAAACUGCUGUUUUCCAGGCAGCUUCAAUUAAAGCGGGCCCCCUUACCUCGCUGGUUACAUUGUUUACAUUUCAAAGACCUAAUCCUCUUGUUGGGCCCAUAUUGUUUCUUGCGGGCUCUUAAUGAAAAGCGUUUGUCCGGGAUUACUCCUAACCAGCAAAUGCCAUCCCCCCAAGACAGUUAGGCUCUGCGGGACAGCCGCGUGGCUCCAGCGCCCGGGGCCUCUGCAGGGCGGGUGGCCUGGCCCGCUCGCCUCUGCUGCCCUCGGCCUGGGUGCCCCCGGCCGGCCCGGAGUCCAGGAGGCCUCACCAUGGGCACCGAGGGAGCAGGUCCUCCCUCAGGGAGGAACGGACUCGCGCAGGCUCCUGGCCUCCAGAGCUGGACGAGAAGAGAGUCGUGUUAUUUUAAGGCACCAAGUUCAUCAAGUCACCAUGGCCGACUGAUGCAGAAGGAGCCACUCUCACCCUGACCAUGGCUCUGCUCAGGGCCUGGUUGGGCCUGGGGGGCCCUGCCCUCCUUUGAUGAGGGUCCAGCUGGAAAGCCAUUAGCAGAUGCUGCCUCCACUCUCUACAAGCAGGACUGCUUUGUCCCUCCCAAUGCCACCCCCCGGCGAAGGUUGGGAUCCCAAGGAAAGCUGACGCAGGGACGAGGUGCCUUCAACAGGGCAUCCACGGUCCCCUCUGCCACCCUCGACCCCUCACCAACCUGAUCCUGGCUCUCCCUCCACCCACUGUUCCCUGGCUGCAGUGGGCGGUGGUGUAGACACGCUGCCCUCCAGCAGAACUAAUCAAGAAGAUUACAGGGCCCGCAUGUGAGAGAAGGCCUCGACUGCCGGGGGAGACCGGAGGAAAAUCCCCUGGUCCAUUUCCCCAAACUUGCCUUUGAUUUUUAAGGGUUUUUUUCCCAAACGUUUCUUCAUCGUGGAUUUCCGGAUGCGUCGUCCCCAGCGGCACAUACAACAAGUUUUGGCAAAAACCAAAGUCUUAUUUCUCCUUCGACUGGAGGAGGUUAAAGUGAUCCCCCCCAGAUGCACAAAGGAAUAAACUCCCCCAGCGCAAUUAAGGAGAAGGUGCCGGGAUGAAAAGAAUUCCAGCCUGUUGACAAACCGUGUUCUCGUUUUCAUGUAAAAGUCACAAGACGGAACUUGCCGUCCAUUUGGCUUGGGGGGAUCAGGGUUGGGGUUUAGAAUGGGGGUGGGAGGCUCGCAGGGGAGGCUGGAGGCUGCCGCUUCCCUGGAUAGGGGCCCGGGGCGCCCACCUUCAUGGCGCUGCUGGGCCCGCAGGGGCCCCGGACCCACAGAGCCUCCCGUCCACCCCAGGGGGCAAGGAGCUGCGGGGAGGGUGCUGCGGCAGCUCCCGGACCUUCCCAGGCCUCAGUCACGUCCCGUCCUGUGUAAGAUGUGGCUGAUGCCCGCCCGCCCGCCCGCAGGGCUGGGAGCUCAGAGAGGAGCCCCCGGGCACACUGAGCCUGGCUGGGGAAGCUCUCCAAACAGCAGCGCUGUCUGGGCUGUGGGUCCUUCCUCCCCCCACGACCCCUCAUGAGGAAGGCGAGCUCGCCCACUUGCUCUUGUAGAGGCCCAAGGAGGGGCACACAGGCAGCGCUUAGGAGUGGCUCGGUUCUUUGGCACUGCCUG